Molecule: ribosomal RNA, 292 nt
Filed under: uncultured bacterium
Lineage: Bacteria
Description: partial 16S ribosomal RNA
Rfam family: Bacterial small subunit ribosomal RNA
Source: RNAcentral
GUGCCAGCAGCCGCGGUAAUACGGAGGGUGCGAGCGUUAAUCGGAAUUACUGGGCGUAAAGGGUGCGUAGGUUGUUGAUUAAGUUAGCUGUGAAAUACCUGGGCUUAACCUAGGGGUGUCAGCUAAUACUGAUGAACUGGAGUAUAGGAGAGGGUAGUGGAAUUUCCGGUGUAGCGGUGAAAUGCGUAGAGAUCGGAAGGAACACCGGUGGCGAAGGCGGCUACCUGGCCUAAUACUGACACUGAGGCACGAAAGCGUGGGGAGCAAACAGGAUUAGAAACCCUGGUAGUCC